GUGUUCUCUUCAGCAGCACAUAUACUAAAAUUAGAAUGAUACAGGAAAGAUUAGCAUGGUCCCGUGAGAGGAGAAUAUGCAAACUCAUGAAACUUCCUAUUUUUAA
Small nuclear RNA from Rhinopithecus roxellana (golden snub-nosed monkey), 106 nucleotides. The record is from Ensembl. Lineage: Eukaryota; Metazoa; Chordata; Mammalia; Primates; Cercopithecidae.